Long non-coding RNA from Pecten maximus, 370 nucleotides. RefSeq lists it as uncharacterized. NCBI's taxonomy places the organism in Eukaryota, Metazoa, Mollusca, Bivalvia, Pectinida, Pectinidae. The record is from RefSeq and is a predicted model, not a curated record. The transcript has 2 exons.
GUUGAAUAUGAGGUCGAUAGUUGGGUUGCUAAAGAAAUUCAAGUGGCAUGUCGCCGGGUUUUAACCUCCUCACAAGAGCUGUCCUUAUUCUUGGGCUGUCCAAAGCUCCCUGGACAGAAGACUAAGGAGAAACCAACCCAGACUCUGCAAGGGGACGACAACUGGUCGCCUCUCACGUCAUCAAUUAAGAUACAGCAGGCAUAUUCUUUCCCCGCUCCUUCAAGUGUUUCAGAUAAAAAGAGCAUAUAUCGAAGAUUCGAAUACGCGAAAAUGCGUCUUUGCGAUUGGUAGACGUCAGAAGAAUAGACACAUUCUUUCACGAACCGAUAUAAUCAUUGGAAUUAGGUGAAUUAAAAAAUAUGUUUUCAAA